RNAcentral lists this ribosomal RNA (235 nucleotides) under uncultured bacterium. Its description in RNAcentral is "partial 16S ribosomal RNA". It matches the Rfam family "Bacterial small subunit ribosomal RNA", at positions 96 to 334 of the family's 1533-position model. The record is from RNAcentral.
UGGCGGACGGGUGAGUAAUGUCUGGGAAACUGCCUGAUGGAGGGGGAUAACUACUGGAAACGGUAGCUAAUACCGCAUAACGUCGCAAGACCAAAGAGGGGGACCUUCGGGCCUCUUGCCAGCGGAUGUGCCCAGAUGGGAUUAGCUAGUAGGUGGGGUAACGGCUCACCUAGGCGACGAUCCCUAGCUGGUCUGAGAGGAUGACCAGCCACACUGGAACUGAGACACGGUCCAG